RNAcentral lists this long non-coding RNA (6475 nucleotides) under Homo sapiens (human). Its description in RNAcentral is "non-protein coding lnc-ERGIC2-11:1". Lineage: Eukaryota; Metazoa; Chordata; Mammalia; Primates; Hominidae. The record is from RNAcentral.
GAGACAGGAGACGCAUUUUAUCCGGACCCAAAACUCCGGCGCCAGUCACGGACUCAGGAAGACAGUCUUCCCUUGGUGUUUAAUCACAUGGGGAUGCCUGCCUGAUUAUUCAUCCACGUUUCAGAGGUGUCUGACCACGCGAGGAAGCCUGCCUUGGUCCUUCACCCUUAGUGGCAAGUACCACUUUUCUGGGGGGCAAGAACCCCCCGACCCCUUCUCUCCAUGUCUCUAUCCCUUCUCUGCUUUUCUAGGGGGCAAGAACCCCCUGACUCCUUCUCUCCAUGUCUCUACCCCUUCUCUGCUUUUCUGGAAGGCAAGAACCCCCCAGCCCCUUCUCCUUCACCCUUAGCAGCAAGUACUGCUUUUCUAGGGGGCAACAACCCCCCCAACCCCUUCUCUCCGUGUCUCUACUGCUUCUCCACUUUUGUGGGGGGCAAGAACCCCCCAACCCCUCCUCUCCGUGUCUCUACCCCUUUUCCACUUUCCUGGGGGCAAGCACCCCCCACCCCUUCUCUCCGUGUCUCUACUCUCUCUUUUCUCUGGGCUUGCCUCCUUCACUAUGGGCAGCCUUCCACCCUCCAUUCCUCCUUCUUCUCCCUUAGCCUGUGUUCUCAAGAACUUAAAACCUCUUCAACUCACACCUGACCUAAACCUAAAUGCCUUAUUUUUCUUCUACAAUGCCGCUUGACCCCAAUAUAAACUCGAUAGUUGUUCCAAAUAGCCAGAAAACAGCACUUUCAAUUUUUCCAUCCUACAAGAUCUAGAUAAUUCUUAUUGUAAAAUAGGCAAAUAGUCUGAGGUGCCUGACGUCCAGGCAUUCUUUUACACAUUGUUCCCUCCCUAGUCUCUGUUCCCAAUGUGACUCAUCCCAAAUCCUCCUUCUUUCCCUCCCGCCUGUCUUCCCAGUCCCAACCCCAAGCGUCGCUGAGUCUUUCUAAUCUUCCUUUUCUACAGACCCAUCUGACUUCUCCCCUUCUCCCCAGGCUGCUCCUAGCCAGGCUGAGCCAAGUCCCAAUUCUUCCUCAGCCUCUGAUCCCCCACACUAUAAUCCUUUUAUCACCUCCCUUCCUCACACCGGGUCCAGCUUACAGUUUCCUUCCACAACUAGCCCUCCCCCACCUGCCCAGCAAUUUCCUCUUAAAAAGGUGGCUGGAGCUAGAGGCAUAGUCAAGGUUAAUGCUCCUUUUUCUUUAUCAGACCUCUCCCAAAAUCAGUUAGCAUUUAGGCUCUUUUUCAUCAAAUAUGAAAAACCCAGCCCAGUUCAUGGCUUGUUCGGCAGCAACCCUGAGACGCUUUACAGCCCUAGACCCUAAAAGGUCAAAAGGCCAUCUUAUUCUCAAUAUACAUUGUAUUACCCAAUCUGCUCCUGACAUUAAAUAAAACUCCAAAAAUUAAGUUCCAGCCCUCAAACCCCACAACAGGACUUAAUUAACCUCACCUUCAAGGUGUACAAUAAUAGAGUAGAGGUAGCCAAGUAGCAAUGUAUUUCUGAGUUGCAAUUCCUUGCCUCCACUGUGAGACAAACCCCAGCCAUAUCUCCAGCCCACAACUCCAAAUGCCUGAACUGCAGCUGCCGGGGGUUCCUCCAGAACCUCCUCCCCCAGGAGCUUGCUACACAUGCCAGAAAUCUGGCCACUGGGCCAAGGAAUGCCCACAGCCCGGGAUUCCUCGUAAGCCAUGACCCAUCUGUGUGGGACCCCACUGAAAAUUGGACUGUUCAACUCACCUGGCAGCCAUUUCCAGAGACCCUGGAACUCUGGCCCAAGGCUCUCUGACUCCUUCCCCAAUCUUCUCAGCUUAGUGGCUGAAGACUGACACUGCCCGAUCGCCUCAGAAGCCCCCUAAACCAUCACGGAUGCUGAGCUUCAGGUAACUCUCACAAUGGAAGGUAAGUCCGUCCCAUUCUUAAUCAAUACGGACGCUACCCACUCCACAUUACCUUCUUUUCAAGGGCCUGUUUCCCUUGCCUCCAUAACUGUUGUAGGUAUUGAUGGCCAGGCUUCUAAACCUCUUAAAACUCCCCAACUCUGGUGCUAACUUAGACAAUACUCUUUUAAGCACUCCUUUUUAGUUAACCCCACCUGUUCAGUUCCCUUAUUAGGCUGAGACACUUUAACUAAAUUAUCUGCUUCCCUGACUAUUCCUGGGCUACAGCCACACCUCAUUGCCAUCUUUUCCCCCAGUUCAAAGCCUCCUUCACAUCCUCCCCUUGUAUCUCCCCACCUUAACCCACAAGUAUAAGACACCUCUACUCCCUCCUUAGUGACCGAUCAUGCACCCCUUACCAUCCCAUUAAAACCUAAUCACCCUUACCCUGCUCAAUGCCAAUAUCCCAUCCCACAGCAUGCUUUAAAAGGAUUAAAGUCUGUUAUCACUCACCUGCUACAGCAUGGCCUUUUAAAGCCUAUAACCUCCCCUUACAAUUCCCCCAUUUUACCUGUCCUAAAACCAGACAAGGCUUACAGGUUAGUUCAGGAUCUGCGCCUUAUCAACCAAAUUGUUUUGCCUAUCCACACUGUGGUGCCAAACCUAUAUACUCUCCUAUCCUCAAUACCCAUUAUUAAUACCCUCAAUACCCUCCACAACCCAUUAUUCUGUUCCAGAUCUCAAACUUGCUUUCUUUACUAUUCCUUUGCACCCUUCAUCCCAGCCUCUCUUCCCUUUCACUUGGACUGACCCUGACACCCAUCAGGCUCAGCAAAUUACCUGGGCUGUACUGCUGCAAGGCUUCACAGACAGCCCCCAUUACUUCAGUCAAGCCCAAAUUUCUUCCUUAUCUGUUACCUAUGAUGGCAUAAUUCUCAUAAAAACACACGUGCUCUCCCUGCUGGUCAUGUCUGACUGAUCUCUCAAACCCCAGCACCUUCUACAAAACAACUCCUUUCCUUCCCAGGCAUGGUUAGAUACUUUCAACUUUAGAUACCUGGUUUUCCCAUUAUAACAAAACCAUUAUAUAAACUCACAAAAGGAAACCUAGCUGACUCCAUAGAUCCUAAAUCCUUUCCCCACUCCUCUUUCCAUUCCUUGAAGACAACUUUAGAGACUGCCCCCACUCUAGCUCUCCCUGACUCAUCCCAACCCUUUUCAUUACCCACAGCUGAAGUGCAGGGCUGUGCAGUCAGAAUUCUUACACAAGGACCAGGAUCGCAUCCUGUAGCCUUUUUAUCCAAACAACUUGACCUUACUGUUUUGUCUAGCCCUCAAGUCUGCGUGCAGCAGCUACCACCACCCUAAUACUUUUAGAGGCCCUUAAAAUCACAAACUAUGCUCAACUCACUCUCUACAGUUCUCUUAACUUCCAAAACCUAUUUUCUUCCUCACACCUGACACGUAUACUUUCUGCUCCCUGGCUCCUUCAGCUGUACUCACUCUUUGUUGAGUCUCCCACAAUUACCAUUGUUCCUGGCCUGGACUUCAAUCCGGCCUCCCACAUUAUUCCUGAUACCACACCUGACCGCCAUGACUGUAUCUCUCUGAUCCACCUGACAUUCACCCCAUUUCCCCAUAUUUCCUUCUUUCCUGUUCCUCACCCUGAUCACAGUUGGUUUAUUGAUGGCAGUUCCACCAGGCCUAAUUGCCACACACCAGCAAAGGCAGGCUAUGCUAUAGCACAAGCCACUAGCCAACCUCUAAGAACCUCUCAUUUCUUUUCCAUCGUGGAAAUCUAUCCUCAAAGAAAUAACUUCUCAGUGUUCCAUCUGCUAUUCUACUACUCCUCAGGGAUUGCUCAGGCCUCCCUUCCUUUCCCUACACAUCAAGCUCAGGGAUUUGCCCCUGCCCAGGACUGGCAAAUUAGCUUUACUCAACAUGCCCCAAGUCAGGAAACUAAAAUACCUCUUGGUCAGGGUAGACACUUUCACUGGAUAGGUAGAGGCCUUUCCCACAGGGUCUAAGAAGGCCACCACAGUCAUUUCUUCCCUUCUGUCAGACAUAAUUCCUCAGUUUGGCCUUCCCACCUCUAUACAGUCCUAUAACAGACCAGCCUUUAUUAGUCAAAUCACCCAAGCAGUUUUUCAGGCUCUUAGUAUUCAGUGAAACCUUUAUGUCCUUUACAGUCCUCAAUCUUCAGGAAAGGUAGAACGGACUAAUGGUCUUUUAAAAACACACCUCACCAAGCUCAGCCACCAACUUAAAAAGGACUGGACUGGCCGGGCACCGUGGCUCAUGCCUGUAAUCCCAGUACUUUGGGAGGCUGAGGCAGGCAGAUCACGAGGUCAGGAGAUCGAGACCAUUCUGGCUAACACGGUGAAAACCUGUCUCUACUAAAAAUACAAAAAAUUAGCCAGGUGUGGUGGCAGGUGCCUGUAGUCCCAGCUACUCCGGAGGCUGAGGCAGGAGAAUGGCAUGAACCCAGGAGGCGGAGCUUGCAGUGAGCCAAGAUCGUGCCACUGCACUCCAGACAGAGUGCAGUGCAAGACUCCAUCUCAACAAAAAAAAAAAAGGACUGGACAAUACUUUUACCACUUUCCCUUCGCAGAAUUCAGGCCUGUCCUCAGAAUGCUAUAGGUUACAGCCCAUUUGAGCUCCUGUAUAGACACUCCUUUUUAUUAGGUCCCAGUCUCAUUCCAGACACCAGCCCAACUUGAACUGCACCCCAAAAACUUGGAUAGAGCCUAAAAAUUCACCAACCAAGCAAGUAAUUACGCUGAACCCCCUUGGGCACUCUCUAAUUAGAUGUCCUGGGUCCUCCCAAUUCUUAGUCUAAUAUCUGUUUUUCUCCUUCUCUUAUUCCAUUUAGUUUUUCAAUUCACACAAAACAGUAUCCAGGCCAUCACCAAUAAUUCUAUACAACAAAUGUUUCUUCUAACAACCCCAUAAUAUCGCCCCUUACCAUAAAAUCUUCCUUCAGCUUAAUCUCUCCCACUCUAGGUUCCCACGCCGCCCCUAAUCCCGCUCGAAGCAGCCCUGAGAAACAUCGCCCAUUAUCAAUCCAUGCCACCCCCCAAAAAAAUUUUCUCCCCACCCCAACACUUCAACACUAUUAUGUUUUAUUUUUCUUAUUAAUACAAGAAGAGAGGAAUGUCAGGCCUCUGAGCCCAAGCUAAGCCAUCACAUCCCCUGUGACCUGCACAUCUACAUCCAGAUGGCCUGAAGUAACUGAAGAAUCACAAAAGAAGUGAUAUUUAAAUGGCCUGUUCCUGCCUUAACUGAUGACAUUCCACCACAAAAGAAGUGAAAAUGGCUGGUCCUUGCCUUAACUGAUGACAUUACCUUGUGAAAUUCCUUCUCCUGGCUCAUCCUGGCCUAAAAAGCUCCCUGACUGAGCACCUUGUGACCCCCCACUCCUGCCUGCCAGAGAACAACCCCCUUUUUUCCUUUACCUACCCAAAUCUUAUAAAAUGGCCCCACCCCUAUCUCCCUUCGCUGACUCUCUUUUUGGACUCAGCCCGCCUGCACCCAGGUGAUUAAAAGCUUUAUUGCUCACACAAAGCCUGUUUGGUGGUCUCUUCACACAGAGUGAAAAAAGGCCUAUGUGAAAAAUGAUUAUUCUUGCUAUACUUUAUGCAAAUAACCAGGCCAACCAUGAGACUAAAGUUUAUUUUGCAAACAACUCAGUCCUAUCAUGAUUUGUUUUUGACAAAAAUGAGGACUGGAGAGAGAAAACUUAUGUUUCAAAACUUACACACUUGUCAUUAAAUUCUAAUCUCAUCGUUUUUUUUUUUUAAGUUUCUGCCUACAUUUUAGACUAACUCUGCUUAUUCCUGUGAACCAACCAGUGGUCUCUGGCUGCAGCUCAGAAAAAACAAAAGGGAUGGGUAAUGUAAAAAUCUGGAUGAGUAUUCUAGUUCUGGGCAAUUAUCCUGCAAAUCCUGCCAGGUGGUAUGAGUAAAUAGGAUGCCUAUAACCAGGAGGUUUCUCUGUUAGGAAAAUAAGAUCAAGGGAGCUAACCAAAGCCGAGCCCCAUGUACCGAAAUCUUAGCAGGCAUAACUAUAGUCACCAGUUAUCAGGUUGUGUUGACAGCCUAGGGAUUUUUGAGCUGCCCUUACCCACCUUUGUUUCGUUUUGAUACAUGUCUUCUAAUAAGCUAAAUUGUUUCUUCUUACUUAGAGGCCAUUAAACUUCAAAUGGUGAUGCAAAUGGAACCACACAUGGAUGUGCCAUUCUUCUGGGGACCCUUAAACAGACUCAGGAGGAGCCUGAGAUUAACAAUUUGUUUAAAACCCUGUCAGCAGGAAGCAGUUAAGAGCAGUCAUCGCCCACUUUCCCCAACAGCGGCCUGAGUCUCCACUUCUGAUGGGGGGAAUGAAAGGAGUUAGCCAGCCUGCUUUAGGCAGACAGUAAGGGAAGAGUCCCCAGAGAACCUCCAACCCAUAUUUUGAGCAGAUAAAGGAACUUGUACAGGGGGCUUGCCUAAACAUGCCCACAUGCGCACUGGGGGAAUGGGAUGGAGCCAACAGGAAUUUGUGUCUUAUACAAAUAAGGAAUCCAGUUCCAUCAGCUUGUAUGUAAAAGCUCUUAUAUUCAACUGUGAAG